RNAcentral lists this long non-coding RNA (2680 nucleotides) under Pollicipes pollicipes. RNAcentral describes it as "uncharacterized LOC119104858". Lineage: Eukaryota; Metazoa; Arthropoda; Thecostraca; Pollicipedomorpha; Pollicipedidae. The record is from RNAcentral.
GCGCAUACAAAUAGAAAUACAAAUGCUGGGAGGCAAAACGGCGGUGCAUGUAUGAUUAGCGCUGCGAGAUGGACCCAGUUUUAUAGAGGAAACUGUGAGUUUACGCAUUCUUUAAUCGCGUAGUGUAAGCACGAGGGUCAGGAGGCAUGCUUUUACCAUCAGCCACGUCGUUUUUAUGUGAUGUCUGAUUCUUAAUAAUUGAAAAGUAAGAUUGGACGGUCGAACUAAGUUGAUUUGUGCAUAUUGAAUGUACUACGGCGAUCAAAAGGUCGUAAUUCCGUGCUUCUCUCUUCUGAAAGUACGCCAUGAUAAUAGUUUGCAACGUGUUGAUAGAUUACGACUGGUGUGAUGAGAUAUGAGGGAAAUCCAGUCAAAGUGAGCGCAUAAGCUUGCAACAGUCGAAAAACACAACAGCUGGUUUACCAUCAAGGCUUCGGUGGUGUUCAAAGGUGUUGUCGAAAACACUGUGCCUGCUAACGAAACUCACGCGCUUAUGACAGAGAGCAGCAUUAUUUAGGAGUGCAGAACAUUACGCGUAAUCAAUGCCAUGUGUCUUACUCGUCAACAGUAACACGCCCCGAAGAUGGCAGGAGCGAGACAAACAUGACGGUGGCCUAUAGCAUGUAUAUAUUAAGGCACCUUGCUAGUCCUCGCCAUUUCCAAAAAGCAGGCGAUAUUUAUGGUUAUUUGCCUCUCGCUUAUGCGAUAGGAGUGAUCAGACAAAUCAUACCGAGGUAGCAAGCAUGGUAAUGCGUGACUAGGCUACGUUUGGUUGGCGAACGGGUGUUUCCAGUUGAUGCUCAGGGACGCUUUUAUCAGCUGCAUGGAAAUUAGCAGAUGGCAUGCCCUAAAAGUUGAGUAUUGCUUUAUGUAAAUUAUCUUGUUUCCAGCCUGACCAUGCAUGAUUUGGCCCAAACCUAAACUACGGUCAGAUUACCCUGUUUUGUCAUGCUUUGGUCCUUUCUUUUCACUGCCCAGGGGAGACAUGCACGGUAAAAAGCAAUAUUUCAAACGUUAGUGGACUUUAUUUUCUACGAGAUGACGCAGGAGUAAUCAAACCAGGAUGAAACCCGACACAGCAUUUCGGACAGUCUGGCGGUCUUUUUCAAUCCACGUACUCAUUUUACAGGGGUCGUGAUCAACGCAACUUCAGCCAGAGAUGCUCGGGUUCUGAGAUCAGCAGACGAGCCCCCCGUUGACGGCACACUGGAAGGACCCAGCGGACCUCCCCGACUGUUGAUAUCCUCGUACGGCACUCAGCGUCCUGGACAGCCGCAAAACGCACCAAGAGAUUUCCGCUCAGACGGACUAGUAGCUUCACGGAGCAACGUGGCAGCUCAUAGAGGAGGCGAGGAUUGGGAGGUGCGCCUUGAUAUGGACUGGUUCAGCGUCCUUUUGCGCCGCAAGCUCGCGGCACAUGAGCCAUUGCAACAGCACGACUGGCACUGCUUGGUGUCCAACAUUACCGACUACUACAUUUCCCGCUACUCUGGAUCACCACAACCAAGGACGUGGUACACUAAGAUGAGUGAUCUCAUCAUAGAUCAGUACCCGCACAUCUUCGCUGGGAUGUCGGCGUCCUCUGCGGUGGGAUUCAUGAAGGCCAAGCUUCGCCACAAGUUCAAGAACAUCCGCUUCCGUUCGUUUUCCGGGGAACGGGAACGGUCCGAAGCCAGACUGUGGCUGGUGACCCCAGAAUGACCUGUGAGGUUCGGUGCUGGUCUCGAUCCUGCUCAGCAGGAAUGAAGCCGCGUAAGGAGACGACGGUCGGUGGCCAAGAACAAACUGAACAGUGUUAGUUGGCUUGGUGACGGGCCAGCCGGGUUCUUGAGCGGGGAUUUACACCAUCGAUCUCUGGAAUUCUUGGUGAUGUUAUCCAACGUGGUGACUGUUUUUUUAAACGGCCUGAUCGAAGCUCACGACCGUGGUGCAGUGUGUCUCGAGAGUGAUAACCAUGGGCUGUUUGUGGUGCUGUCUCGUCAUGGUCACACCGCAGCUGAACGACAGCUCAAGGACGAUUGCGGACCGAAAAUGCUCGCGAUGUUUGCUCUACAAACGUCGAUUGGUAGAUGAACCACACUGCAUGGUACGCCGAGGGCUACGAAAGUCGCCACAUACGUGGUGCUGAUUUGAAUGACGCUCUUUGCGCUUGUCGUGUUACGUUAACGCGCCGUGGCCACGAAGGAGCCGUCUGUCACGUGGUUUUCGUUCAUUUUGGCCGUUUCUCGUUGCGUCUUUGCGGAUUCUUUGUCAUUGCGUCCUUGACGUGCGCAUGAGUGCGGUUAUCAAGAGCAACAGUUAGCUAACACGUCACAGGCUCUUCGUCGUCAGAGCCUGCCGGAGAUGGAUGUCAAGUGUCAUGUGAAACUGACGUAUGGGUGUCCUCGGUGCCCUUUCCCAUGCAUAUUUAUAAAUUACGUGAUGCACUUGUUUAGUCUGGUCGGUUUAUCCACAGAAUAGGUUGGAGCUCACCGCCAAAUUGUGCGUCGAAUACAAAGUGCGUUGUCAGGAAAGUUUCGCUGCAUGAAUACUUACCAGCCACGAAGAGAACCUGAACUGUCACGUGCCAGCGGCGACUGGCAAUUUCCAGUGACGCCUGAGAAGUUGCCAUCGACUGCCAGGAAACUUUUUAGACAAUGUAAUGUAUAGGAAUCGUCUCAUGCGUGAGAUCUGCACCCAU